RNAcentral lists this ribosomal RNA (566 nucleotides) under uncultured Glomeromycotina. Its description in RNAcentral is "SSU rRNA". It matches the Rfam family "Eukaryotic small subunit ribosomal RNA", at positions 548 to 1114 of the family's 1831-position model. Lineage: Eukaryota; Fungi; Glomeromycota. The record is from RNAcentral.
UUGGAGGGCAAGUCUGGUGCCAGCAGCCGCGGUAAUUCCAGCUCCAAUAGCGUAUAUUAAAGUUGUUGCAGUUAAAAAGCUCGUAGUUGAAUUUCGGGAUCAAUGUUUCGGUCAUGCCGUUGGUAUGUACUGAUAUUAUUGAUUUCUCACCUUCUAAAGAACCGUAAUGCCAUUAAUUUGGUGUCACGGGGAAUUAGGACUGUUACCUUGAAAAAAUUAGAGUGUUUAAAGCAGGCUCACGCUUGAAUACAUUAGCAUGGAAUAAUGAAAUAGGACAUCCGAUUCUAUUUUGUUGGUUUCUAGGAUCGAUGUAAUGAUUAAUAGGGAUAGUUGGGGGCAUUAGUAUUCAAUUGUCAGAGGUGAAAUUCUUGGAUUUAUUGAAGACUAACUACUGCGAAAGCAUUUGCCAAGGAUGUUUUCAUUAAUCAAGAACGAAAGUUAGGGGAUCGAAGACGACCAGAUACCGUCGUAGUCUUAACCAUAAACUAUGCCGACUAGGGAUCGGAUGAUGUUAAUUUCUUAAUGACUCAUUCGGCGCCUUACGGGAAACCAAAGUGUUUGGGUUC